UACGGAGGGGGCGAGCGCUGCCCGAAUUUACUGGGCGUAAAGCGCACGUAGGCGGCUUCGUAAGUCUGGUGUGAAAUCUCACGGCUCAACCGAGAGGCUGCACCAGAUACUGCGAAGCUCGAGGACGGGAGAGGAGAUUGGAAUUCCCGGUGUAGCGGUGAAAUGCAUUGAUAUCGGUAGGACCACCAGUGGCGAAGGCGGAUCCCUGGCCCGUUGCUGAAGCUGAGGUGCGAAAGCUGGGGGAUCGAAAGGG
Molecule: ribosomal RNA, 253 nt
Filed under: uncultured bacterium
Lineage: Bacteria
Description: partial 16S ribosomal RNA
Rfam family: Bacterial small subunit ribosomal RNA
Source: RNAcentral